This 2165-nucleotide ribosomal RNA is filed under the name human gut metagenome. RNAcentral's name for it is "bacterial LSU rRNA". It matches the Rfam family "Bacterial large subunit ribosomal RNA", at positions 1 to 2198 of the family's 2925-position model. The record is from RNAcentral.
UUAAGUAGUAAAGGGCGCACGGAGGAUGCCUUGGCACUAGGAGCCGAAGAAGGACGUGACAAACGACGAAACGCUACGGGGAGCUGUAAGUAAGCAAAGAUCCGUAGAUAUCCGAAUGGGGGAACCCACCGCUUUUAAAAGGGCGGUACGCGAAAGCGAGGUAACGCAGGGAACUGAAACAUCUAAGUACCUGCAGGAAGAGAAAGAAAAAUCGAUUUCCUAAGUAGCGGCGAGCGAAAGGGAAAGAGCCCAAACCAAUGUGCAUGCAUAUUGGGGUUGUAGGACUCUCAGAAAAGCGUAUGACGAAGUAUAGUAGAACUAUUUGGAAAGAUAGACCGUAGAAGGUAAAAGUCCUGUAUACGAAAUGCUAAGUUGGCGUGAGAGAGCACCUGAGUACGGCGGAACACGAGGAAUUCCGUCGGAAUCUACCAGGACCAUCUGGUAAGGCUAAAUACUACCUAGUGACCGAUAGUGAACCAGUACCGUGAGGGAAAGGUGAAAAGAACCCCGGGAGGGGAGUGAAAGAGAACCUGAAACCGUGUGCUUACAAGUAGUCAGAGCCCUUAAGGGGUGAUGGCGUGCCUUUUGUAGAAUGAACCGGCGAGUUACUUUAUCAUGCGAGGUUAAGUGGAAGACAUGGAGCCGAAGCGAAAGCGAGUCUUAAUAGGGCGAAAUAGUAUGAUGGAGUAGACCCGAAACCAAGUGAUCUACCCAUGGCCAGGUUGAAGUUUAGGUAACACUGAAUGGAGGACCGAACCAGGACACGUUGAAAAGUGUUUGGAUGAGCUGUGGGUAGCGGAGAAAUUCCAAUCGAACUUGGAAAUAGCUGGUUCUCUCCGAAAUAGCUUUAGGGCUAGCCUCGUUGUGAGUUUACUGGAGGUAGAGCACUGUUUGGACUAGGGGCCCAUCCCGGGUUACCGAAUUCAGACAAACUCCGAAUGCCAGAUAAAUAUCAACGGGAGUCAGACUGCGGGUGAUAAGGUUCGUAGUCGAAAGGGAAACAGCCCAGACCGCCAGCUAAGGUCCCAAAUUGUAUGUUAAGUGGAAAAGGAUGUGAUGAUGCACAGACAACCAGGAUGUUGGCUUAGAAGCAGCCACCAUUUAAAGAGUGCGUAAUAGCUCACUGGUCGAGUGACAUCGCGCCGAAAAUGUACCGGGGCUAAACAUACAACCGAAGCUGCGGAUAUAACUAAUGUUAUAUGGUAGGAGAGCGUUCUAACAUCAUAGAAGCCGAGCUGGAAGGUGAGGUGGAGAGGUUAGAAGUGAGAAUGCCGGUGUGAGUAGCGAAAGAUAGGUGAGAAUCCUAUCCACCGAAAGACUAAGGUUUCCAGAGGAAGGCUCGUCCGCUCUGGGUAAGUCGGGACCUAAGGUGAAGCCGACAGGUGAAGCCGAUGGACAACAGGUAGAAAUUCCUGUACCACCAAAUAUCGAUUGAGAGAAGUGGGGACAGAGGAGGCUAAUUGAUCGUCCUGAUGGAAUAGGACGUCUAAGCACAAAGGUUGAGUAGUAGGCAAAUCCGCUGCUCGAGAAGACUGAAGUGUGAUGGGGAGCGAAAUUAAAGUAGCGAAGUCAAUGAAGCCAAACUCUCAAGAAAAGCCGCUAUCGAGAUAAGAGGUGCCCGUACCGCAAACCGACACAGGUAGUUGGGAAGAGAAUUCUAAGGUGAGCGAGAGAACCAUCGUUAAGGAACUCGGCAAAAUGACCCCGUAACUUCGGGAGAAGGGGUGCCUACGAGAGUAGGCCGCAGUGAAUAGGCCCAAGCGACUGUUUAACAAAAACACAGGUCUCUGCAAAACCGAAAGGUGAAGUAUAGGGGCUGACGCCUGCCCGGUGCUGGAAGGUUAAGAGGAGUGCUUAGAGGUAACUCGAAGGUAUGAAUUGAAGCCCCAGUAAACGGCGGCCGUAACUAUAACGGUCCUAAGGUAGCGAAAUUCCUUGUCGGGUAAGUUCCGACCCGCACGAAAGGCGUAACGAUUUGGGCACUGUCUCAACGAUGGACUCGGUGAAAUCAUAGUACCUGUGAAGAUGCAGGUUACCCGCGACAGGACGGAAAGACCCCAUGGAGCUUUACUGUAGCUUGAUAUUGAAUUUUGAUGCAGUAUGUACAGGAUAGGUAGGAGCCUAAGAAUCAUGCACGCCAGUGUAUGAGGAGGCGCUGUUGGGAU